GAUGAACGCUGGCGGCGUGCCUAAUACAUGCAAGUCGAGCGAACAGGCGAGGAGCUUGCUCCUCUGACGUUAGCGGCGGACGGGUGAGUAACACGUGGAUAACCUACCUAUAAGACUGGGAUAACUUCGGGAAACCGGAGCUAAUACCGGAUAAUAUAUUGAACCGCAUGGUUCAAUAGUGAAAGACGGUUUUGCUGUCACUUAUAGAUGGAUCCGCGCCGCAUUAGCUAGUUGGUAAGGUAACGGCUUACCAAGGCAACGAUGCGUAGCCGACCUGAGAGGGUGAUCGGCCACACUGGAACUGAGACACGGUCCAGACUCCUACGGGAGGAAGCAGUAGGGAAUCUUCCGCAAUGGGCGAAAGCCUGACGGAGCAACGCCGCGUGAGUGAUGAAGGUCUUCGGAUCGUAAAACUCUGUUAUUAGGGAGGAACAAAUGUGUAAGUAACUAUGCACGUCUUGACGGUACCUAAUCAGAAAGCCACGGCUAACUACGUG
RNAcentral lists this ribosomal RNA (497 nucleotides) under uncultured bacterium. RNAcentral describes it as "partial 16S ribosomal RNA". It matches the Rfam family "Bacterial small subunit ribosomal RNA", at positions 28 to 507 of the family's 1533-position model. The record is from RNAcentral.